CAUGCAUGUAGGAUAGGUUAGAGAGUAGCUAGUCCAGUCAAGCUUCAGCGAAGAUGUGUGGAGAAGGCGAGAUGCCAGGGUGCCGUGUGAUACGGCGAGUACAGUGAGAUGCUGCAAAGCUGCGCGAGGCAGCACGGUCGUGUGAUGCGGCAAGUACAUGAGAGGCUGGAGCCUGACCGGCUAGACGAGGUGGUUAGAGCUGAGAGAUUCACAGAGUUUGUUAGUUGCUUGGCCGAGUCGUGGCUGUUGGAGCGAUUCCAGGACUGGAUAGGGCUGGUAGUGCGUGUAUUAGUGCCUGCAUGGCUUAGUGGGAUUAGUUGCUGAGAGAGUUGGUGGCUAGUGCGUGCGUGGGUCCUCUGUACUGGCGUGAGUUUAGAUCGCAUGGUUGCCGAGUCUUGUAUAAAUACAUUGCAUUGAGUAAUAGAAGUUGAGGCCGUGAGGGCUAUAGGGAAAAUGUAGUCUUUAUGUGCACCAAGGAAGAGUGUUCUGGGCAAAGCCUCGUUGGGUUUCUUCCUUGGAUGUGUGCGUGUGUGUUUUCUGAGUUUCACCAUGUGUGUGUGUGCCUUGUGUGAGACAAAGAGAGUUGAGCUGUGAGAGGCAGCUCAAGGUAGUAGAAGAAGCGGCGCUGCAAGGAGAUUCAGCGCCAACAAUUGGCAUCAGAGCCCUGUCGAUCCGUGGCGGUGACUACGGUACCGGCGGCUAUGGUGGCCGGCGUGGCGGUGGCGGAGGCAACGGCUGCGACGGCGGCGACGCGGUGGACUCCAUGUGAGGUGGAGGACGCCGACGCGAGGUGAUGGCUGGCGGCGGCGCGAUGCCGCUGGUGGCCGGUUGCGGUGCAAUGCUGCGAGGUGAUGAUGGCGUGGUGAUCGGUGUUGCGAAGGCGCCGUCCACGACAAGAGGUGGCCACUGCGUGUGGCAGGACGAUGUGGUGAUGGGCGCCGCGACAGCGUCGUCCUCGGCAAGGAGAAGUCGCUACAUUCGGCAAGUGGUUGUGGGUGAUCCGCGUCGGAGAUUGGAGAAUCAAGAUUAAGGGGGGAAAUGUUAGCUUUAAUCUUGAUGUAUGUAUCUGCAUAUUUAGUUUGCUUUCAUCAUGCAUGUAGGAUAGGUUAGAGAGUAGCUAGUCCGGUCAAGCUUCAGCGAAGAUGUGCGGAGAAGGCGAGAUGCCAGGGCGCCGUGUGAUACGGCGAGUACGGCGAGAUGCUGCAAAGCUGCGCGAGGUGGCACGGCCGUGUGAUGCGGCAAGUACAUGAGAGGCUGGAGCCUGACCGGCUAGACGAGGUGGUUAGAGCUGAGAGAUUCACAGAGUUUGUUAGUUGCUUGGCCGAGUCAUGGCUGUUGGAGCAAUUCCAGGACUGGAUAAGGCCGGUAGUGCGUGUGUUAGUGCCUGCAUGGCUUAGUGGGAUUAGUUGCCGAGAGGGUUGGUGGCUAGUGCGUGCGUGGGUCCUCUUUACUGGCGUGAGUUUAGAUCGCAUGGUUGCCGAGUCUUGUAUAAAUACAUUGCAUUGAGUAAUAGAAGUUGAGGCCGUGAGGGCUAGAGGAAAAAUGUAGUCUUUGUGUGCACCAAGGAAGAGUGUUCUGGGCAAAGCCUCGUUGGGUUUCUUCCUUGGCUGUGUGCGUGUGUGUUUUCUGAGUUUCACCAUGUGUGUGUGUGUGUUCUUGUGUGAGACAAAGAGAGUUGAGCUGUGAGAGGCAGCUCAAG
This 1699-nucleotide long non-coding RNA is filed under the name Triticum aestivum (bread wheat). RNAcentral's name for it is "long non-coding RNA (TAES_LNC004618)". Lineage: Eukaryota; Viridiplantae; Streptophyta; Magnoliopsida; Poales; Poaceae. The record is from RNAcentral.